UGUCUUCACGCAGCUUCCGUAUGUUUCUCUUGUUCUGAUGGACGAAUCUUUUCACAUUUUACAGGCACAAAGACGGAUGGGGAAGAGGAACUUCUCAGGGCCGGCACCUGCCUUGCUGGGCGCUGAGCACCCCGUCUUGGGAGGUGACCCAGCAGAGGGCAAGAAACAUUCCUGAAUACAUUUACUGGCAUUUGAUAUCGUCUCCCCAGCUCUGGGCCUUCAAACCAAGGGGCAGUUCAGUGCAGUGGCGCAGGCUGUGGACUCAGGAGCCCGACUGCCUGCAUUUGAAUCCCAUCUCUUCCCCUUGCUACCUGUGUGUCCUUGGGCAAGCUGCUCCGUGUUCCCGAGCCUCACCGUCGUUCUCUAUAAAACUAUGAUUGAUUGAUUCAACCCAUUUUAUUGAGUAUCUACUAUGUGCCAGACAUUUUCUAGGCACUUGGGACAUGCCAGUAAAUAGAGCAAGGAAAAAUCCUCCUUCUUGUGGAGAUCAUACUGCGGCAGGGGGUAGACAAGUGGCAAACACUAAUAGAUGGAGACCCUGAGGACUGAGUCACGGAAAGUACUUGCGUAUGACCACACGGAGAGGACUAAAACCAAAGUGGGGG
Long non-coding RNA from Neofelis nebulosa (Clouded leopard), 605 nucleotides. RefSeq lists it as uncharacterized. Lineage: Eukaryota; Metazoa; Chordata; Mammalia; Carnivora; Felidae. The record is from RefSeq and is a predicted model, not a curated record. The transcript has 3 exons.